AUGCACGCUGACAGAAUGCUUAACCCCUGCAAGUCUCCUUGAACUUCGGUUUGGGUGGCGGACGGGUGAGUAACGCGUAAAGAACUUGCCUCACAGUUAGGGACAACAUUUGGAAACGAAUGCUAAUACCUGAUAUUAUGAUUUUAGGGCAUCCUAGGAUUAUGAAAGCUAUAUGUGCUGUGAGAGAGCUUUGCGUCCCAUUAGCUAGUUGGAGAGGUAACGGCUCACCAAGGCGAUGAUGGGUAGCCGGCCUGAGAGGGUGAACGGCCACAAGGGGACUGAGACACGGCCCUUACUCCUACGGGAGGCAGCAGUGGGGAAUAUUGGACAAUGGACCAAAAGUCUGAUCCAGCAAUUCUGUGUGCACGAUGACGUUUUUCGGAAUGUAAAGUGCUUUCAGUUGGGAAGAAAAAAAUGACGGUACCAACAGAAGAAGUGACGGCUAAAUACGUG
RNAcentral lists this ribosomal RNA (453 nucleotides) under uncultured bacterium. Its description in RNAcentral is "partial 16S ribosomal RNA". It matches the Rfam family "Bacterial small subunit ribosomal RNA", at positions 29 to 507 of the family's 1533-position model. The record is from RNAcentral.